This is a long non-coding RNA of Malaclemys terrapin pileata, 1849 nucleotides long. RefSeq lists it as uncharacterized. The record is from RefSeq and is a predicted model, not a curated record. The transcript has 2 exons. NCBI's taxonomy places the organism in Eukaryota, Metazoa, Chordata, Testudines, Emydidae.
UGAAAGGUCUCUAGAAGCUUAAUGAUCUGGAUGCUAAGAAACCUUCUCCAUUGAUGACUCUUCAUAGCUGGUAAUGAGUAAUAAUAAAUAAUUCUGUCAAACAUUCAUUGCAGGUUUUUCUAAUAUGAGAUAUGAACAGACUAGGUGGUCAUUCCUACCAGGGAGAAGUGAGGGUAAGUGGUUGUCCCGGGCAAGGAGGUAAGAAAAACUCAUGGAUGUUUGGAGACUGGUAUAUCAAGUGGUGUGGAUUUUACUUCAGGGAGAAGAUCUGUGGUGGACCUUACUUGUCAUGGGGAGAAUAUGAAAAGCAGAUGCAAGACAAAGCAACUUGGACUUGCCAGCUGCUCAAUCCAUUGAGGACUCCAGUGACAAGAUGCUGUUAUUUCAAGGAGAAACAAAACAAAAAAACUAGUCACAUCAAAUAGUUCAGCUAGUAACAAAUCUGAAUCUGAAGUAAGUCAGGAGAACAUCACAGACAUGGAGGUAAGCAUUUAAGUUUUCCUGGUUGUCAAAUGAAUCUUGUGCUAAAGCAACACUUACAGCGCAAAUUAACAGGUCACAUCUUAUCUCCAGAUGGAAGGAAACUAGAGGGCUGUUUUGUUCUAGAAGGGAUGAAUGCAAAUGCGGCUUGCUGAACCAGGCAUGUCUGUUAGGAAGGAAAAAAGCACGUUUCUUUAACAUUCAAGUGGAAAUGAAUAGAUCCUCUUAUACUUUCAGAUGAGAGGAAUGCAGCUGAUUUGAAUGUUGAGGGUGUGACAACUUCGGGAAAUUCCUAGAAGCUCAGUGAUAUCUACAGAAAGGAAAGAAGCUAAACUCAGCACUGCUGCCAUGAGGUAAGGGACUCCCCUCCUAAUGGAGAAAUUGAUGGAUCUGGUUUCCUUUCAGGUGAAAGAAAUGCAGCUGAUCUGAUCUCCUAGGGAUUGAGGACUAUAAGCAGUCAUAUGUCUUAGGAAAGGAACACAUGUUGCCAGAUCUGCAGAGAAAACAAAGUUGCCUUCCUUAACUAGAAUGGGAAGAUAAUCACUUAUCAAGUUACAAACCCACAAUGCAGCAGCCCAUCACUGACUAGGAGAAGAAGAGUUACAGAGGCUCAGUACUGGAGUAGAAGGGAAUACGAAUGGAGCUGAACAGAUCCAACACUUGAAAGGACAAUUGGAUCUCAAAAUAUGAAACCAUGAAAAAGACCCUUCAUUCAAUAAAGCAACAGAAUUGGCUCAAAGGAGAGGUAAGAGAAGCAUUUAAGUCUAACAAAUGAGCAUACCCUGAGCGCCACAAAAUUGCUAACUUAUAUUGUGUCAAAGGGUUUGUUACAGCUGACCACACAUCUCAAGAUCUAAGAGGAGCUGAGUGGGAUGGCAGAUGUCAGAAGAUUCAUCUUUCAGGAGGUGAUGAACCUGCUUGUCACUUCUGAGUGACAUCAGUGGCUUUGGUUUUACUUUCAGAUGAAGGAAACACAGCCAGCAUGGACAGUAUUCAUGAAACAAUGUUCAAAAGUUGCCUGGGGUCACCUCUUGGGCUAAGGGGAGCCGCUUGUCCCAUCUGCUGGGAUGUAAGCAAAGAAAAACCACUGGAGGCUGGUUAGUGCUGGGACACAGACAAUACCCUGGAGGAGCCUGGGGUACGGUGUGUAAUCAUAGUGACCAGUGGGUCCUUUCCCCACUGUGGUCCUGGCUCGCAUGCACAGGGUGAAACUGAUCGCCAUGUUUGGGGUCAGGAAGGAAUUUUCCUCCAGGGCAGAUUGGCCAGAGACCCUGGAGGUUUUUCGCCUUCCUCUGGGGCAUCGAGCAGGGACCAGCCCUUUGGGCCAUUUAGAAACAGACAGACAAUAAAAUCCGUCAGAGAACAUGUC